Molecule: ribosomal RNA, 603 nt
Filed under: Henricia pacifica
Lineage: Eukaryota; Metazoa; Echinodermata; Asteroidea; Spinulosida; Echinasteridae
Description: partial large subunit ribosomal RNA
Rfam family: Bacterial large subunit ribosomal RNA
Source: RNAcentral
CGCCCCCUGAAAAAUUUUAAAGUAUAGGGGGUACUGCCUGCCCGGUGACAAUUGUGUUAAACGGCCGCGGUAUUUUUGACUGUGCGAAGGUAGCGUAAUCAUUUGCUCUUUAAUUGGGGGCUUGAAUGAAUGGCAAGACAGAAGCUGUGCUGUCUUUUCUUUAAUUCCUUGAAUUUGAUAUUGUUGUGAAGAAGCGACAAUACGGCCGUAGGACGAGAAGACCCUGUCGAGCUUUACUAAGAGCGAUUUUUUUUAGUUAGAUUUAAAGGGCUAAUUAUUUUUACACUGUAAAUAGUAGUGUAUUAGUUGGAAGUUACUCAGGUAAAUCUAUUGGGAAGUUGUUUUAUUGUUUGGUUGGGGCAACCGCGGAGAAGAUUAAUCCUCCGUUUUUGUUAAGAAAAAGCUUCGGCUUUGUUGAAUGAUAAUUUAUUUGAUAGGAUCCACUGUUUAAGUGAUUAAAGGAAUAAGUUACCGCAGGGAUAACAGCGUUAUUCUUUUGGAGAGUUCAUAUUGAUAAGGGAGUUUGCGACCUCGAUGUUGGAUCGGGAUAUCCUUGGGAUGUAGCAGUUCCUUAGGGUUGGUCUGUUCGACCAUUAAAAUCCU